Molecule: non-coding RNA, 72 nt
Organism: Lachancea nothofagi CBS 11611
Lineage: Eukaryota; Fungi; Ascomycota; Saccharomycetes; Saccharomycetales; Saccharomycetaceae
Source: the annotation of a GenBank genome assembly
UUCCGGGUGGCUCAAUGGUAGGGCGUCUCCCUCCUAAGGAGAAGAUUGCGGGUUCGAGUCCCGUCCUGGAAG